RNAcentral lists this ribosomal RNA (205 nucleotides) under uncultured bacterium. RNAcentral describes it as "partial 16S ribosomal RNA". It matches the Rfam family "Bacterial small subunit ribosomal RNA", at positions 30 to 236 of the family's 1533-position model. The record is from RNAcentral.
AUUGAACGCUGGCGGAAUGCCUAACACAUGCAAGUCGAACGAGUUGUGUAGCAAUACACAACUAGUGGCGGACGGGUGAGGAACACAUAGGAAUCUACCCUUGUAGUGGGGAAUAACCCGGGGAAACCCGACGUAACUGCCGCAUACGCACUAAGGUGGAAAGCGGGGAGUCGGUAAGACCUCGCGCUAUAGGAUGAGCCUAUGU